Molecule: ribosomal RNA, 539 nt
Filed under: Fusarium oxysporum
Lineage: Eukaryota; Fungi; Ascomycota; Sordariomycetes; Hypocreales; Nectriaceae
Description: eukaryotic LSU rRNA
Rfam family: 5.8S ribosomal RNA (bases 186-339)
Source: RNAcentral
GAUUUCGUCUCGUUGGUGACCAGCGGAGGGAUCAUUACCGAGUUUACAACUCCCAAACCCCUGUGAACAUACCACUUGUUGCCUCGGCGGAUCAGCCCGCUCCCGGUAAAACGGGACGGCCCGCCAGAGGACCCCUAAACUCUGUUUCUAUAUGUAACUUCUGAGUAAAACCAUAAAUAAAUCAAAACUUUCAACAACGGAUCUCUUGGUUCUGGCAUCGAUGAAGAACGCAGCAAAAUGCGAUAAGUAAUGUGAAUUGCAGAAUUCAGUGAAUCAUCGAAUCUUUGAACGCACAUUGCGCCCGCCAGUAUUCUGGCGGGCAUGCCUGUUCGAGCGUCAUUUCAACCCUCAAGCACAGCUUGGUGUUGGGACUCGCGUUAAUUCGCGUUCCUCAAAUUGAUUGGCGGUCACGUCGAGCUUCCAUAGCGUAGUAGUAAAACCCUCGUUACUGGUAAUCGUCGCGGCCACGCCGUUAAACCCCAACUUCUGAAUGUUGACCUCGGAUCAGGUAGGAAUACCCGCUGAACUUAAGCAUAUCA